UUACGGUCAAAUCACGCUGAAAACACCGGUUCUCGUUCGAUCACCGAAGUUAAGCAUCGUAGAGCCAGGUCAGUACUUAGAUGGGGGACACCUGG
Molecule: ribosomal RNA, 95 nt
Filed under: Acanthosepion pharaonis
Lineage: Eukaryota; Metazoa; Mollusca; Cephalopoda; Sepiida; Sepiidae
Source: RNAcentral